This is an RNA transcript of Zingiber officinale, 2072 nucleotides long. It is a transcript of the gene named ATP-dependent DNA helicase Q-like 3, with no coding region annotated. The record is from RefSeq and is a predicted model, not a curated record. The transcript is spliced from 11 exons. NCBI's taxonomy places the organism in Eukaryota, Viridiplantae, Streptophyta, Magnoliopsida, Zingiberales, Zingiberaceae.
GCUCCUUAUUUAAUAAUUCAAAUUUUUUUUUCGAUGAAAUGAGCCGGCCACAGCAUGCAGACGCUGGAACGUUAGGGUUCUUAGAAGCGAGAAUAGAGAAGAGAGCGGGGAAGGGAGAGGAGGAGGAGAGGGAGAGGAGGAGGAGAGAGAGAGGAGAGGCGGAAGUAGACGGAGUUUAGGGUUCUUGUUGCCUUCGUCUUCUUCCGCGUCCGGAUUGGACUCUAGGGUUUCGUCCUCGUGGCGCCUUUGGACGAGAGAAGAGAGCAGGGAAGGAGAGGAGGAGACUCGAUAGGAGGAGAGAGAGAGAGAGGGAGAGGCGGAAGGAGACGGAGUUUCUUGUUGCCUUCCUCAUCUUCCUUGGUGCCUAGGACGAGCAUUUCUGCAUCUUAGCACAUCCCCACCCUAAAUGAUCAAACACAAUAGGAGGUCUCUCAUGGAUUUGUUGAAACUAUUGUAGCAUUUCCAUGAUUCAGAAUCCGAAUGAUACUUCUACAAGUAACUUGGGUGAUACAGCUAAGGCAAUGGUCUACACUUGCUAGUCUUUUAGCAGCUACUGACCACAAGGAAUGCCUUAAUCAAGUUGUCAAGUUAAAUGGCCUUUCUUUUCUGAAAAAAUGUCUUCAAGAAGCACUAGGUAAUAUAUUGAUGACAAUGGAAUUGUUGUGGAGGAACUGAUCCUUUCAUUGUUGACAUCAUGCGAGAAGCUUCCUGUGGAUCCUGAAAAAACGAAUGCAUCAGGAUUUGGAGAAACUAUUGAACCUUUCAUGGAUUUACAGGCUCAUUGCAUUUCAUCAUGGGGCCAUGAUUUCAGGUUAGCAUCAAAGAUUUUCGAUAUGGAUAUUGUAUAGGUAAUGGCCUCAGUUCUUGCAGGCAGGCCUAGCUAUCACAAGCUAUCUUCACUAAGGAUCCACCUUCCAGGUGUCCCAAUUCUAGCUUUAACUGCCACAGUUGUUUCACAUUCAAUCUAAAGACCUCCUGGAUGAUCCCUAUGUUGAUCUCUCUAAUUUAUUCAAGUCUAAUUGAAAUGCAUGCUCAAUUAUUUAUUGUCUUGAGCAUGCCUCCUGCGUUGACUUAUCAGCUUACCUGUCAAAGAAUGGCAUUUCGUCAGCAGUUUACCAUGCUGGUUUGAGUAGAAAAUUGCGAACUAGUGUAUUGGGUGACUGAUUAUCUUCCAAAGUUCAGGUUGUUGCAACAGUUGCUUUUGGCAUGUCUCAUAUCUGCACACAAGGAAUUCCUCAAAUAUGAUGUAUCUUUCGAUAAAGAAUUCAUUCUACAUAAUGCCACUAUGAAAAAGAGAGAAUCUUCACUUCCCUCAGGUGGCUUGCCAGAGAAGUCUGUAGCUACAUUUACUCAGAUGGUGGAAUACUACGAAGGUUCUGGUUGUCAUAGGGGGGAGAUUCUUCCAAGUUUUGGCGAACAGGUGUCAACAUCUUUAUGUCAGAAAUCAUGUGAUUCAUGUAAACAACCAAGCAUAGUUGUACAACACCUAAAGGAUCUUGAGGGAAAAACUUACUCCCAGAAGGACAAGUUCUUUCCCAUUUUGACUAAAAGAAAUUGAAGCAUGGAGGAAGGUCGGGCCAUAGUUCAUGCUUCAGAACCCAUGUUAUCAUCAAUGAUGCCAAUCUGAAGAAUUUUGUUGACUUGAUAUAAAUAAAUCAUCCCAAUUUAUUCUGGAUGUCUUAAAUGGCACAUUGCAUUGAUUUGAGGAUGAAGGAAAUUGCAAGAUGGUGAAGAAGCUCAACCUACAUUCCUUUAGAAGGUCAACAUACUGAAUUUUGGAAUUGAGAAGAUGAUGACAGUUUCUUCGAGGAAGCUAUACCAGAUUCUGGAGGUAUCCUUUAUCAAAGUACUUUAUCAUUGAUUUCUGGAGACCAAGUGGCUGAAUCCUCAGUUAUAGCAAAAUGCUGUGAUGGUUCACAGAAUAAUCCCAAGGGUAUUAUUGAACGAAUAUAUCCAUUGGGUGCAGCGAUUGGUAAACCAAAAUCUUCUACUGAGGGCAUCUCUCCUGCAAAAAUUGCACAAUCUGAGUGGAAGAGUUUGACAGAAAGUGAUAAUUCCUCCGAGUCUACUGC